AAACAAAUUUAUCACAUGCUUACCUACAAUUAGACAACAAGAAUCCAUAAAAUGUUAUGUGAAACUAAGUCUCAUAAACGUAGUGGUCAGUGAGCUCAUAACAAUGCUGAACAAAUGAUAUUGGCCACUGCAAUGAUAAAAUGAAAAGAAUGGGGUGAGUAACUCAAAAACUUUGGAUCAAGUACAAUUAUGGCCAAUUCUUUUCAUUUUUUUUAUAACUAAUUUUUUUAGUUUCCCUUUCCUUUUCUUUGG
RNAcentral lists this unclassified non-coding RNA (252 nucleotides) under Hevea brasiliensis (rubber tree). Lineage: Eukaryota; Viridiplantae; Streptophyta; Magnoliopsida; Malpighiales; Euphorbiaceae. The record is from RNAcentral.